GAUGAACGCUGGCGGCGUGCCUAAUACAUGCAAGUCGAGCGAACAGACGAGGAGCUUGCUCCUCUGACGUUAGCGGCGGACGGGUGAGUAACACGUGGAUAACCUACCUAUAAGACUGGGAUAACUUCGGGAAACCGGAGCUAAUACCGGAUAAUAUAUUGAACCGCAUGGUUCAAUAGUGAAAGACGGUUUUGCUGUCACUUAUAGAUGGAUCCGCGCCGCAUUAGCUAGUUGGUAAGGUAACGGCUUACCAAGGCAACGAUGCGUAGCCGACCUGAGAGGGUGAUCGGCCACACUGGAACUGAGACACGGUCCAGACUCCUACGGGAGGCAGCAGUAGGGAAUCUUCCGCAAUGGGCGAAAGCCUGACGGAGCAACGCCGCGUGAGUGAUGAAGGUCGUCGGAUCGUAAAACUCUGUUAUUAGGGAAGAACAAAUGUGUAAGUAACUAUGCACGUCGUGACGGUACCUAAUCAGAAAGCCGGCUAACUACGUG
Molecule: ribosomal RNA, 495 nt
Filed under: uncultured bacterium
Lineage: Bacteria
Description: partial 16S ribosomal RNA
Rfam family: Bacterial small subunit ribosomal RNA
Source: RNAcentral